Molecule: ribosomal RNA, 468 nt
Filed under: uncultured bacterium
Lineage: Bacteria
Description: partial 16S ribosomal RNA
Rfam family: Bacterial small subunit ribosomal RNA
Source: RNAcentral
GACGAACGCUGGCGGCGUGCUUAACACAUGCAAGUCGAACGGAAAGGCCCUGCUUUUGUGGGGUGCUCGAGUGGCGAACGGGUGAGUAACACGUGAGUAACCUGCCCUUGACUUUGGGAUAACUUCAGGAAACUGGGGCUAAUACCGGAUAGGAGCUCCUGCUGCAUGGUGGGGGUUGGAAAGUUUCGGCGGUUGGGGAUGGACUCGCGGCUUAUCAGCUUGUUGGUGGGGUAGUGGCUUACCAAGGCUGUGACGGGUAGCCGGCCUGAGAGGGUGACCGGCCACAUUGGGACUGAGAUACGGCCCAGACUCCUACGGGAGGCAGCAGUGGGGAAUAUUGCACAAUGGGCGGAAGCCUGAUGCAGCAACGCCGCGUGCGGGAUGACGGCCUUCGGGUUGUAAACCGCUUUCGCCUGUGACGAAGCGUGAGUGACGGUAAUGGGUAAAGAAGCAACGGCUAACUACGUG